UUUAUUAAGGUGAUGUGAUAUUCUAACAUUCUAAGCACUAUCCAGUAUGUUGUUUUUUUAACAAAUUACAUGGGGGAUGUAAUAUUCUAAACUUCAAACAGUGUAUUUUCUAGUUUUAUUAAGGUGAUGUGAUAUUCUAACAUUCUAAGCACUAUCCAGUAUGUUGUCUUUUUAAACUAAGUACAUGGGUGAUGUGAUAUUCUAAACAUGUAGUAGUGUAUUUCUAAAUUUUAAAAAGGUGAUGUAAUAUUCUAACAAUCUAAGCACUAUCUAGUAUGUUGUUUUUUAACAAAAUAUAUGGGUGAUGUAAUAUUCUAAACUUCAAAUAGUGUAUAUUUUAAUUUUAUUAAGGUUUCUUCUUGUUGUCCCUGGCCACUAGCAUUAUGUUUUGUUGCAUGUUAUCAGACUUGUAUGGUCACUACUUUUGAAGCCUUUCUGACUGAACAAUACCCAGCUGUUUGUCAUCAAUGCCAUCUAUAUCAUGUGAUGUAACACUGACUGCUAUCACUUUUAAAAAAAAACAGUUAGUUAAAGUCUCCUUCAAUCUGUUUCACUCAUUUAGUACGAAUCAGCAGUGAACUUAUAAAGAAGUUAUCAAACAAGUUGGAAGACUGAAAACUUUGAUACACUCAAAAAGUUACUUUUUAA
Molecule: non-coding RNA, 648 nt
Organism: Hydra vulgaris (swiftwater hydra)
Lineage: Eukaryota; Metazoa; Cnidaria; Hydrozoa; Anthoathecata; Hydridae
Source: RefSeq, a predicted model, not a curated record